UGCUUCAUUAUUCACAGUAUUGACCUGGCUAUUCUAUAUUUUCAUCUCAUACAUCAAGAGAGGAAUGUUAAUCCCCUAUCUGAGUUAAAAGGACAUCAAGUUCCCCAGGUAACCCUCCAUGUGGCAGGAGUAGGUAUGGUGGUAGAAAAGUUUGGCUGUAAAAGGAGCACGACCUGUCUGUGAAUGAGUGUGUAGACAGGCAGUGUGUAGCCAGCCAGUCACAAAAGUAUUCACGCCACCCCAAAUUCAAUGUUCAUGACUUUGCUGAGACAAAAAUUAAGUAGUCUUAACUAGAAAAAAAGUUCUAAAAGAUCUACUGUUUAGAUUACUACUUUUUCAUUGCAUGGACAUACUCUAUUCCUAUGUCUGUCUUUCUUUUGUCCUGCGUUCUACUUGUUCAUAUUUUCUACAUGUAAAAAAAGGCUGACAAAACAUGUGGUCAUGUCCAAAUCUCAUAUUUUGUAACAUAAACGCAAAUACACCACACACACACACACACACACACACACACACGUGCACAUAUAAACACACACAUACUGUGGAAAUACACACAUUCACAUACUUACAUACCACACACAUGCACAUAUGCCACACACAUGCACACAGACACGUACACCCACACAUAUUCCCCACACAUGUAUGCACAGCACACACAACCCUCAUGAUUACAUGCACAUACGCAUACCACACACACAUGCAUGUGCAUAACACCACACACAUGUGCAUGCAAACACACACAUGCCACGCAUAUACACACACCGCACAUAUACACGUACAUGCACAGUAUACUUUGGAAAUCAGAAGAUAAGAAAAAUAUUGUUAACACCACUAAUAUUCCCAGUAGUUUUAUAUUUGCUAGUAUAUUUCAGGUAAUGUUUAACUGACUUCUCUAUGUUUAACAAAUUCUUGAGGGUAUGAGGAUGGAAAUAAAUGCAUUGCAUGUCAUAUUUUGCUUAUGUACUAAGUGAAUGGAAGCUGAAGAAAACAAAGAAAACAUGAAAAAGAAAGGCAGAAGGACGGCAUGAUUAGGGCCAGGGCCACAGACCUGCCUCUGUCACUGAUUUGCUGGGCACAUUCUAUUUCCCAACCUCAGUUCCUUCAUUUGUAAAAUGUGGAGGCUGGAUUAAACCAUAAAGUGAAGUCACUGUUGUGGACUGAAUUGUGCCCAACUCCACCACCAAAUUCAUAUGUUGAAGCCCUAAUCUUCAAUGUGCCUGUAAUUGGAAAUAGGGUCUUUAGAGAGUCCAUUAAGGUAAAAUGAGGUCACAGUGGUAGAGUCCUAAUCCAGUAGGACUGGUAUCCUUUUUAUUUAUUUAUUUAUUUUUUUUUUUUGAGAUGGAGUCUCGCUCUGUCGCCCAGGCUGGAGUGCAGUGGCACGAUCUCGGCUCACUGCAACCUCCACCUCCAGGAUUCAAGCAAUUCUCUGCCUCAGCCUCCUGAGUAGCUGGGAUUACAAGCACCCACCACCAGGCCCAGCUAAUUUUUUUUAUUUUUAGUAGAGACGGGGUUUCACCAUGUUGGCCAGGCUGGUCUUGAACUCCUGACUUUGUGAUCCACCAGCCUGGGCCUCCCAAAGUGCUGGGAUGACAAGCGUGAGCCACCGCACCCGGCCUGGUAUCCUUGUGAGAAGAAAAAGAGACACCAGAGGCACGUAAGCACAGAGGAAAGGUAAUAUGAGGACACAGGAGAAGGUGGUCAUCUGCAAGCCAAGGAGACAGGCCUCAGAAGAAACCAACUCUGCCAACGCCUUAAUCUUGGACACCAGCCUCCAGAACUUGCUUGAGAACAUGCCACUGUUGUCCCUUUGGGCUGGCUACUUCCCUCUUUGAGGCUGCCUUGCCUUUCCAGGGAGGAAUCGCACAAGUUUCCAGAACAUGUCGGGGGGAGGAGCCAAGAUGGCCAAAUAGGAACAGCUCCGGUCUACAGCUCCCAGCAUGAGCGACGCAGAAGACGGGUGAUUUCUGCAUUUCCAUCUGAGGUACCGGGUUCAUCUCACUAGGGAGUGCCAGACAGUGGGCGCAGGUCAGUGGGUGAGCGCACCAUGUGCCAGCCGAA
Molecule: long non-coding RNA, 2055 nt
Filed under: Homo sapiens (human)
Lineage: Eukaryota; Metazoa; Chordata; Mammalia; Primates; Hominidae
Description: HSALNT0039103
Source: RNAcentral